Molecule: long non-coding RNA, 305 nt
Filed under: Ananas comosus (pineapple)
Lineage: Eukaryota; Viridiplantae; Streptophyta; Magnoliopsida; Poales; Bromeliaceae
Description: long non-coding RNA (ACOM_LNC011994)
Source: RNAcentral
AAAAAAUAGUUUUUAUUUCAAUAGUUUAAUGUGAGGGUAUUUUCAUCCUUUUAUCUCUUUACCAAUCACUAUCCUUCUUAUCCCACCUACUCCAACCAAACACUAUUUUUCUUAAUUCUGGACUAACUCCAAUUCUCAACCAAACAUAAAAAUACUCUAACCCCACCUUAACCCUGAACUUAACCCUAUCCCUGAAAUAACUAGGUUUUUCUUAACCCCGAACCAAACGGUAGCUUUUUAAGUAUUCCGGAAUAACAAACUAUCCUAGGGUUAAAAAAAUUUAUACCAAAGUUUUUAAUUCCCCA